UGUUUUCAAGCAACUAUUUCCUAUUCCUCCUCAAGACCUUACAGGUGACGCUUUUUGCAUGAGCUUCUCGGCCUAAUCCCCUCGUCUACGCCUCUAACUGCCAUACGACUAAUGCCCCAGACCCGAGGCCUCGACUCGGCCCAGCUAAGCUGUUUGGGGGGAUUUGAUCGUGCAUAGAUGACAUUGAGUUUGAAUGGGUCACUGCAGAUUCUGUUUUAGCCACAGCCUGCUGGAAAGGAGUCAAGUGGAGGGCAAGCACCUGGGCCAGACGACCUUUACCUGCAGAAAGCCAAAGAAGAGUGACCCUGGAGCUGGAGGAGGAGGAGGAGGCUUCGGACAUCCACCUCGGUCAAAAAGGCCGUAGUAGCUCCGAAGCCAUCAGAGACAGUGAAGAAGAG
Molecule: long non-coding RNA, 398 nt
Organism: Gasterosteus aculeatus aculeatus (three-spined stickleback)
Lineage: Eukaryota; Metazoa; Chordata; Actinopteri; Perciformes; Gasterosteidae
Source: Ensembl